RNAcentral lists this transfer RNA (73 nucleotides) under Fasciola hepatica (liver fluke). It matches the Rfam family "tRNA". From Rfam's summary of the family: Transfer RNA (tRNA) molecules are approximately 80 nucleotides in length. Their secondary structure includes four short double-helical elements and three loops (D, anti-codon, and T loops). Lineage: Eukaryota; Metazoa; Platyhelminthes; Trematoda; Plagiorchiida; Fasciolidae. The record is from Rfam by way of RNAcentral.
GCUGCGUUAGCUCAGUAGGUAGAGCAUCCGCCCGGUAUGCGGAGUGUCGCGGGUUCGAUUCCCGCUCGCGCCG